UGCAGAGCUGGGUCUGGAACCUGGCAGCCCCUGGAUCUGCAGGCAUCAGCCUGAAAACUGUUGCUCUGCAGCUGAAAUCUAAGAAGCCACUGCAGGCAGACAAGAGGCCAAUUCCACACGAGGCAGUGACCUUCCAGGGAGGCUCCCACACUAUCCAGGGGCUGGAUGUUGGUGUUGGGCACCGUGGCUGAGAAAGGACAGAUGGAAAACACUGAAGGUCAAACCUGUGAAGGUCAGACUUUUGGAGAAGCCACCAGAGGGACAGAGAAGUAAACAGGAGCAAAUCAACAGGUCCCUGCCAGCACACAUCACAGGGAUGCACAUGGAUGCGCAGAGAGCAGGGACAUCAGACUGAAGAGCUUGAGACAUUCCCAAAGCAUUCCCUCCCUGGGAGCACCCACCGUGACUCAGGAGGCCUGGUCUGGAGUCCAAUAUUCUCCUUUAAAACAGGCACUGCUGCUUCUGACAUCUUUUCCCCUUUUGGGUUUUUUGGGGCAGAUUUCCCUUUGUGAGCUCCUCUCCAGUGCAAGCCUAGGCUCA
Passer domesticus (house sparrow) is the source of this 540-nucleotide long non-coding RNA. RefSeq lists it as uncharacterized. NCBI's taxonomy places the organism in Eukaryota, Metazoa, Chordata, Aves, Passeriformes, Passeridae. The record is from RefSeq and is a predicted model, not a curated record. The transcript has 3 exons.